Molecule: long non-coding RNA, 5027 nt
Organism: Oxyura jamaicensis (ruddy duck)
Lineage: Eukaryota; Metazoa; Chordata; Aves; Anseriformes; Anatidae
Exons: 5
Source: RefSeq, a predicted model, not a curated record
GGCCUUCUGCUCCUGUGGUAGCUGGGAUGGAUGUAGGGCAAUACUGGGGCACAUGUUGGUACCAUUGGCAUCCCCAAAAUACAGAGCCUUUCUCAGCUCAGGCAUCUGCUCAGGAUCUGUGGGGCAGGCCACGCACAUAUUCCUCCCUUAGAAACUCCCUGGCUCAGAAGCAAGAAGCAUCACAUCCCCACGAAACCCGGUACUUCAGCUAAUCUAAAGCCCUGUAGGGAGUCGGGGCUAAUUAACUGAGUGCUGUGGCAUCCUGACAUAACUAUAUGGCUUCUGGGACCCACGCUAGUAUUUCUACCAAGCGCUCUCCUGCGCUGGGUGAUAUAUCUGCCUGGUCAACGCCUGGUCAGGGGCCCCAGCAGAGGACUGAAGGCAGGGAUUAUGGACUUGGCAGCCGUCACUUUCUGUCAUGCCCACAGCCACGUUUCACCCGGUGAUAUUUGGAGUAGUCGGUGCUACUUGGAAUGCAUUUUCCUGAAUAUAAGCUGGAAAUUACUGAUUUUUACCUUACACAGCUAGUAUAAAAGCACUAAUGUCCUAAUGAAGAGUCUCACUUAGCUAAAUGCUUCAUACAGCUGAGUAAAACAAAGAAUUUUACUAGAGCUUAACCCAGUCGUUAAUAAGCUUUUUAACCCUGACCUUUCAAAUCAAUGAUCUACCACUGGUUUUACCUUUCAAGAAGGAAUUCCAUUUUCAAGUGAUAAAACAUAUUUUGCACUCCUUACAAUCUAAUGAUUAUUCUCAGCGUUACUGGAUAUAUGAGGCCAUCAAACCAUUAGAAGGUAUAAAAUGUAUUAAUGUACAGCAUUCAUGGCUACAUUUGCUUUAGAGUCAAUAAAAGGGAAACAAUUUAUAAAGGGCAUUUGUGCUCAUUACGGAAUAUCGAUAGAUUGUUUCUCCCAUCAUUUCUGAAGUAUGAAGAACUCCAUUUCGUGACGGAUAGCAGAGGAUUUGCAUAAGCUCUUUGCUUACUCCAUGAACUUCUCCAGCACAGAGCAGCAUGCAGGGGCUUGUGGCCAGACUGGGACGGGCUGGGAUGUGCCUGGGGUGGGACUGUGGUAAUCCCCACAAAUUCUUCCUUCCCAGGGGACCGAGCAUCUCAAUUUGGGAGUCGUUCACGGCAGCCACAUGAAGGCUCAGCAGAUAUCCACAGUGAUUUCUGCACUAAACAUUAAUUAGCACAAGGCCGUGGGCAGCUUGGAUUGAGGUUAGAAAAGAACAAGAGGAGUUAUUUGUGGGGAAGGUCAGGGAUGAUGAGCACAAGUGCUGGAAGAGCUUUGCAGAGCACCUUCCUAAGCAGCAGGAGGACAAGGGAGGCCACUCCACAUGUAGGGGAGAAAAUGAAAAGGAAUUACAGGUCGGAUAGAAAAGGAUAUAGGAGCACCAGUGCGAUGGCUAGAGGCAGAAGUUUCAUAGUCUGUCCUAGUGAAUAACUCAAUUAACUGCAGGAAUAAAAUCUAUGAAGAGACAAAUGAUUAAGGCACUGGCCUGAGUCUCAGCAGACUCCGGCUGUUUUCAGGUUUCUGUCUGACUUUUGGCAAGCCUCUUCAACUCUCUGUGCCUUCGUUUCCCAUCUGUUAAGGAGGAAUAAUAAUAUUUCCUUUCUCUCCUGCCUAUUCCAGCAGUAAGCGCUCCUGGCAGGCACUGUAUCUCUCACAGCAUGUGUACAGGACUUUGCUCGCUGGGGUUUUGAUCUCUGCACUGAAGCAGGACAUACGGGGACGAGGAGUGCCAUGACAGAGCAGCCCACUUUCAAUUUCUGAUAUCCAGGGGACUAAGGUAUGCUGUAACUCCUUGAAGAGCUUUCUUAAUACCAGUUCUUCAAAGACAACAGAAGAAAAAAAAAAAAAAUCAAUCAGUAAAUUAGAGAAGGAAAGUGAUUCCCAUCUCUGUUAAGAUUGGUAGGAGUCUGAAAUUAUCUUCCAAAGCAGAAAUAGUUUGCGAGAACACAGAAGACAUUAACUACAGUACAAAAACAGACACAAGGACUUCUCAAUUUCUGAUCUUGCUGCUGUACUCGUCUGGCUUCUCUGUACAGACUGAGCUUCACCACAUUUCUCACUGACAAGCCACCUUCUUGAUGCACGGAGUGGUUUCCCUUGCAUGCAUAUGCUCCUGCCCACCUGGUAAGAUGAAAUCGUGCUCACUCACAGGCACACACACAUCGCAAGCAAGGCUAGGGGAUAUCAGUUGCAGAGUAUUAUUUUAAAAGGACAACCGGCAAAUAUAUAAAAUUGAAUUUCAGCUGCAGUCCCAAUUAGAAAUACAAAUGUCACUGAAAGGGAGCAUGUCUGUUGACAGUAGACUUCGGAGAAAGCUUUGGUUUUAGUGCUAGUAAAUUAAUCUUUAAUUAUGAGCACUUCUCACUUCUGAAAGAAGUGCCCUGCACAUACUGAAUGGACAGUGUGUGAAAGUUUCAGGGUGUUGCUUUCUUCUGAUAAAAGAAACAUCUUGUCCCACAAAGGCCCAGCUCGGCUCAAGCCUGGGCCUGCUGCUGCCAGUGGCCCUGCAGAUGGUGAGAAGUCAUCUGUUAAAAACUCUGUUACUAAAACAGCAUCACUCCCAUGCUCUUAAACACAAAUACCAAGACAAAGACCUGUCAAGGUGUGGGUUUUCCAAGGGAUGGCAGAAAACAGCCCUUCCCCUGCUGUCCUUUCCCUGCUGGGGUCAGUGGCCUCCCCCUGUGCUGAGCACACCUCGCAGCAGAGAGGAGCACAGGAUGCUGCAGCAACCCCUGCUCAGGCCAACACCUCCAUUCCCGUGCUGGCUGCAUUAUUAAAAUAACAUUUCCACUUCCAAGUAAGUAAAUUAAUCUCACUGGCAAGUUUGUCUUGUGACAGCCAACAUCUUGUCUCCCCAAGAACUGGGCUGGUGUCCUGAAAGCUGGAAAUCCAGCUCUAAAACCUGAGUGCAACAGCCAAGAGAUACACCAGAUCCAUCUUCUGAGGUAGCAGAUACAAUGAGGUAAGUAAAUAUGUUCUAGAAAUCGUGCUAUUAAAGUUUAUAAAAAUUAUUUAAUUUCCUGAAGUUAUGAAGGCCUGCUGUCAUGUUCCCAGCGAGCUUUGCUUUCGGCCUGCGGUUCUCUUUUAGAGAACACAGUGCCCCCGAACUUUGCUGCCCUAAGGAGGCCGUGCUGCAGACCUGCCUCAGAAGGCCCGGCACACCUGCUUUGAGGCACAACAGGAAAAUCAGAACAUACCUUAUCAUAAAUAUGCAUAUGUGACACAGGAACCUGCUGCCUUCUUGGAGAGAUGCCACAAUUGACAGAACAAAAAGUACAACAAAACUUCACAUCACCGGUGGAUCAGAAGAACAGAGCUCAUCCGAGGUAUGAGUCAUUUCCAUCAAAAGAGGAGGAUGCCUUGAUCUGUGCGCGAGUGAGCGCUGGAACAGCAGCUGUUGGAGCAAAUACAAACAUUCAUGCCAAGGAUUGUAAGGAUGGAGUUUAUCUAAUAUGUAAACAACCACCUGCUGCAAAUGAAAAAUUACACCCACAACCACCUGAAUAAGAUAAGCAUAUGAUGCGGGAAAUGAAGAGACAGAUUUAUUAUUAAUUUGCUGGAACUUUUGAACCAAACAUCUCUUUUGCAAUGGAACAGUAGGAUGCACAAAGAAAUAGUACUCCUUGCCCCAGAUCUGCUCAGCAGCAUUUAUUUUGCCUGUGAUUUUCCUUUUUUUUUUUUUUUUUUUUUGCUAAGUCUGGUGGAGAUGAAAACACCAACCCAAAGAAGAUAAUUAAAAGCUAAAUGAAACCACAUACAGCUGUGCUACUACAUGGCUAAUGAACAUGCAAAUAUAUACAUAUGACAAGGACAUAAUGCAGACUGGCUGCCUUGAGUGCUUAGUGCAGAUUUCCAAGAGCUGGAAAUGCUAUUGAUUAUAACUGAGCUAAACUUCCUGACUCCAGACUUCAAAGAUCAGCCUCAAUAUAAUCAUCACACAGCAUAUGGAAACAUGGCUGCUAGGAGCUGAUGAAUAAUGGCUCGGGGACCUGAACAUUUGCACGUAGGAUGGGAGAUGUCCUCUUGGCCGCUGAGGAGGCCUGGAGGCUUCUCGGCAGCCAGGACCAGUGCCAUAUAAUCCUCCUCAGUCUUGGCAUGCUCCAUCUUGCUGUCAGUUGAGAUUUUGGAGUAGUGGGAUUUUGAUGGGAUAUUUAUUUUUGACUUCCCACUUUACUUGGCAAGAAGCUGUUGUGUGGAGGACACAUUUCUGUGAGGACCAGGGCUGGAGGUAACACGCAUAAGGCAAAGCUUCUGGGCUCCUACAACACAGUAGACAAGAGCAAGAUGGACAGGUUCUCCUCUGAGGGCCUUCUUGUACAUUGGCAUGAAAGGAGAUCAAAUCAGACUUAUUAGUUAAAAAAUACCAACCCAUUUUACCAUGAGACUUCAAAUACAGGAAAAAAUAUGAAAAGAAAAACUUUGGAAACAUUGGAGUGUGGCCUUGAAUUGAGUGAGAAUAAGCAGCCAUUGAUCCCUCUGAACCUGCAUCCAGCCAGACUAUAAAAUGCAAUACAAAACUCGUUCCUCCUCCACAAUGACACCCAAAACAGCACAUAGUCCUGGGGACUUUUGCAGGCCAUGUCUAGAAUUGCAGCGCACCCUUGGACCUUGGUGCAGAAGAUGGCUGAGCCACCAGGACAGAAGAGAGGCCACCUACAGAAACCAAAUUUGUGCUGAACACAAUGCCAAAACUGUGAUGGAUGGGUGCGUUUGCUAUGGAGUACACAGGGCUACUCACAACACUCACAGCAAAGAUGGAAGCUACUUCUCCCAUGAAGGGUAACCACAUGUGAAGAGAGAGAUUCCAAUUCAAGAUUUCUUACUGUGCCUUUGCCAGAGACAUUCCUAAGGAGAUGGAAACUCUCUGAAUGUGGAAUUUUCGCAUGAGUGCAAAAUAAUAAAAAGCAUGUGUGUAUUAAAAAGGGAUCAACUUAAUGGGAAAUGAGCAUUGGGUUACAUUAAUAUUCUAUUACAGUAAAAAUCAUAUUUAAUAAAUUUUCUCCAGAUUUUUCAGAA